This 507-nucleotide ribosomal RNA is filed under the name uncultured bacterium. Its description in RNAcentral is "bacterial SSU rRNA". It matches the Rfam family "Bacterial small subunit ribosomal RNA", at positions 15 to 507 of the family's 1533-position model. The record is from RNAcentral.
GAUCAUGGCUCAGGAUGAACGCUAGCUACAGGCUUAACACAUGCAAGUCGAGGGGAAACGAUAGAGAAAGCUUGCUUUUUCUAGGCGUCGACCGGCGCACGGGUGAGUAACGCGUAUCCAACCUGCCCAUCACUUGGGGGAUAACCUUGCGAAAGUAAGACUAAUACCCAAUGACGUCUCUAGAAGACAUCUGAAGGAGAUUAAAAGAUUUAUCGGUGAUGGAUGGGGAUGCGUCUGAUUAGCUUGUUGGCGGGGUAACGGCCCACCAAGGCGACGAUCAGUAGGGGUUCUGAGAGGAAGGCCCCCCACAUUGGAACUGAGACACGGUCCAAACUCCUACGGGAGGCAGCAGUGAGGAAUAUUGGUCAAUGGGCGUAAGCCUGAACCAGCCAAGUCGCGUGAGGGAUGAAGGUUCUAUGGAUCGUAAACCUCUUUUAUAAGGGAAUAAAGUGCGGGACGUGUCCCGCUUUGUAUGUACCUUAUGAAUAAGGAUCGGCUAACUCCGUG